This 71-nucleotide transfer RNA is filed under the name Thermoplasmata archaeon. RNAcentral's name for it is "tRNA-His". It matches the Rfam family "tRNA". Rfam says of the family: Transfer RNA (tRNA) molecules are approximately 80 nucleotides in length. Their secondary structure includes four short double-helical elements and three loops (D, anti-codon, and T loops). Further hydrogen bonds mediate the characteristic L-shaped molecular structure. tRNAs have two regions of fundamental functional importance: the anti-codon, which is responsible for specific mRNA codon recognition, and the 3' end, to which the tRNAs corresponding amino acid is attached (by aminoacyl-tRNA synthetases). tRNAs cope with the degeneracy of the genetic code in two manners: having more than one tRNA (with a specific anti-codon) for a particular amino acid; and 'wobble' base-pairing, i.e. permitting non-standard base-pairing at the 3rd anti-codon position. The record is from RNAcentral. Lineage: Archaea; Methanobacteriati; Thermoplasmatota; Thermoplasmata.
GCCGGGGUGGGGUAGUGGUAUCCUAUGGGACUGUGGAUCCCUCGACCCGGGUCCGAUUCCCGGUCCCGGCC